UUUCCGUAGGUGAACCUGCGGAAGGAUCAUUACCGAUUGAGGGUCUCUCAGGCCCGACCUCCCACCCUGUGUUUUUGUGACCUUGUUGCUUUGGCGGGUCCCCCUCGAUGAGAGGCCGCCGGAAGCUCACCGCUUUGGGCCCGUGCCCGCCAGUAGCCCCCUUAAAUUCUUAAUAAACCUGUCAUCUGCGUCUAGAUAUAAUAAAAAAAACUUUCAACAACGGAUCUCUUGGUUCUG
This 237-nucleotide unclassified non-coding RNA is filed under the name plant metagenome. RNAcentral describes it as "partial contains small subunit ribosomal RNA, internal transcribed spacer 1, and 5.8S ribosomal RNA". The record is from RNAcentral.